CAGCCGCCACGGGAAUACGUAGGUGGCAAGCGUUGUCCGGAACUAUUGGGCGUAAAGGGCUCGCAGGCGGUUUCUUAAGUCUGAUGUGAAAGCCCCCGGCUCAACCGGGGAGGGUCAUUGGAAACUGGGAAACUUGAGUGCAGAAGAGGAGAGUGGAAUUCCACGUGUAGCGGUGAAAUGCGUAGAGGUGUGGAGAAACACCAGUGGCGAAGGCGACUCUCUGGUCUGUAACUGACGCUGAGGAGCGAAAGCGUGGGGAGCGAACAGGAUUAGAUACCCGGGUAGUCCCUGUCUCUUAUAC
This 301-nucleotide ribosomal RNA is filed under the name uncultured bacterium. RNAcentral's name for it is "partial 16S ribosomal RNA". It matches the Rfam family "Bacterial small subunit ribosomal RNA", at positions 509 to 807 of the family's 1533-position model. The record is from RNAcentral.